RNAcentral lists this ribosomal RNA (300 nucleotides) under uncultured Exiguobacterium sp. RNAcentral describes it as "bacterial SSU rRNA". It matches the Rfam family "Bacterial small subunit ribosomal RNA", at positions 115 to 410 of the family's 1533-position model. Lineage: Bacteria; Bacillati; Bacillota; Bacilli; Caryophanales. The record is from RNAcentral.
ACGUAAGGAACCUGCCUCAAGGAUUGGGAUAACUCCGAGAAAUCGGAGCUAAUACCGAAUAGUUCAUCAGACCGCAUGGUCCGAUGAUGAAAGGCGCUCCGGCGUCACCUUGAGAUGGCCUUGCGGUGCAUUAGCUAGUUGGUGGGGUAACGGCCCACCAAGGCGACGAUGCAUAGCCGACCUGAGAGGGUGAUCGGCCACACUGGGACUGAGACACGGCCCAGACUCCUACGGGAGGCAGCAGUAGGGAAUCUUCCACAAUGGACGAAAGUCUGAUGGAGCAACGCCGCGUGAGUGAUG